GGCUGGGGCUCAGGGGCAGAGCGCUCGCCUAGCAUGGGCGAGGCCCUGGGUUCGAUCCUCAGAACCA
RNAcentral lists this transfer RNA (67 nucleotides) under Marmota monax (woodchuck). RNAcentral's name for it is "tRNA.Ala". The record is from RNAcentral. Lineage: Eukaryota; Metazoa; Chordata; Mammalia; Rodentia; Sciuridae.